GUGCUUACUUCGGCAGCACACAUACUAAAAUUAGAACGAUAGGGAAGAUUAGCAUGGUCCCUGCUCAAGGAUGACACGCAAAUUCGUGAAGCAUUCCAUAUUUUA
Small nuclear RNA from Suncus etruscus (white-toothed pygmy shrew), 105 nucleotides. The record is from RefSeq and is a predicted model, not a curated record. Lineage: Eukaryota; Metazoa; Chordata; Mammalia; Eulipotyphla; Soricidae.